This 397-nucleotide ribosomal RNA is filed under the name uncultured bacterium. RNAcentral's name for it is "partial 16S ribosomal RNA". It matches the Rfam family "Bacterial small subunit ribosomal RNA", at positions 523 to 918 of the family's 1533-position model. The record is from RNAcentral.
AUACGUAGGGGGCGAGCGUUGUCCGGAAUGAUUGGGCGUAAAGGGCGCGUAGGCGGCCCGGUAAGUCUGGCGUGAAAGUCAUGUUUUUAAGAGGGGACUUGCUUUGGAUACUGUCGGGCUUGAGUGCAUGAGAGGUAAGUGGAAUUCCAAGUGUAGCGGUGAAAUGAGUAGAGAUUGGGAGGAACACCAGUGGCGAAGGCGACUUACUGGACUGUAACUGACGCUGAGGCGCGAAAGUGUGGGGAGCAAACAGGAUUAGAUACCCUGGUAGUCCACACUGUAAACGAUGAAUGCUAGGUGUAGGGGGUAUCGACCCCUUCUGUGCCGCAGUCAACACAAUAAGCAUUCCGCCUGGGGAGUACGGCCGCAAGGUUGAAACUCAAAGGAAUUGACGGGG